UUGUUUCAGGCGUCGAGCGGCGGACGGGUGAGUAACGCGUAGGAAUCUGCCUAGUAGAGGGGGACAACAUGUGGAAACGCAUGCUAAUACCGCAUAAUCCCUUAGGGGGAAAGGAGGGGAUCACUUGUGACCUUCCGCUAUUAGAUGAGCCUGCGUGAGAUUAGCUAGUUGGUGGGGUAAAGGCUCACCAAGGCGACGAUCUCUAACUGGUCUGAGAGGAUGACCAGUCACACUGGGACUGAGACACGGCCCAGACUCCUACGGGAGGCAGCAGUGGGGAAUAUUGGACAAUGGGCGAAAGCCUGAUCCAGCCAUGCCGCGUGUGUGAAGAAGGCCUUAGGGUUGUAAAGCACUUUCAGGAGUGAGGAAGGGUGCGUUGUUAAUACCGACGUACUUUGACGUUAGCUCCAGAAGAAGCACCGGCUAACUCUGUGCCAGCAGCCGCGGUAAUACAGAGGGUGCAAGCGUUAAUCGGAAUUACUGGGCGUAAAGCGCGCGUAGGUGGUUUGUUAAGUCUGAUGUGAAAUCCCAGGGCUCAACCUUGGAUUG
Molecule: ribosomal RNA, 549 nt
Filed under: bacterium
Lineage: Bacteria
Description: bacterial SSU rRNA
Rfam family: Bacterial small subunit ribosomal RNA
Source: RNAcentral